AUACGUAGGGGGCAAGCGUUAUCCGGAAUUAUUGGGCGUAAAGGGCGCGUAGGCGGCUUUGCAAGUCAGUAGUGGAAGUCCAUUUUUCAAGGAUGGAAGUGCUACAGAAACUGCGGAGCUUGAGUGCAGGAGAGGUUAUCGGAAUUCCCGGUGUAGCGGUGAAAUGCGUAGAGAUCGGGAGGAACACCAGUGGCGAAGGCGGGUAACUGGACUGCAACUGACGCUGAGGCGCGAAAGUGUGGGGAGCAAACAGGAUUAGAUACCCUGGUAGUCCACACUGUAAACGAUGAAUGCUAGGUGUAGGAGGUAUCGACCCCUUCUGUGCCGCAGUAAACACAGUAAGCAUUCCGCCUGGGGAGUACGGUCGCAAGAUUAAAACUCAAAUGAAUCGGCGGGG
Molecule: ribosomal RNA, 397 nt
Filed under: uncultured bacterium
Lineage: Bacteria
Description: partial 16S ribosomal RNA
Rfam family: Bacterial small subunit ribosomal RNA
Source: RNAcentral